GACGAACGCUGGCGGCGUGCUUAACACAUGCAAGUCGAACGGAAAGGCCAUGCUCUUGUGGGGUGCUCGAGAGGCGAACGGGUGAGUAACACGUGAGUAACCUGCCCUUGACUUUGGGAUAACUUCAGGAAACUGGGGCUAAUACCGGAUAGGAGCUCCUGCUGCAUGGUGGGGGUUGGAAAGUUUCGGCGGUGGGGGAUGGACUCGCGGCUUAUCAGCUUGUUGGUGGGGUAGUUGCUUACCAAGGCUUUGACGGGUAGCCGGCCUGAGAGGGUGACCGGCCACAUUGGGACUGAGGUACGGCCCAGACUCCUACGGGAGGCAGCAGUGGGGAAUAUUGCACAAUGGGCGGAAGCCUGAUGCGGCAACGCCGCGUGCGGGAUGACGGCCUUCGGGUUGUAAACCGCUUUCGCCUGUGACGAAGCGUGAGUGACGGUAAUGGGUAAAGAAGCACCGGCUAACUACGUG
RNAcentral lists this ribosomal RNA (468 nucleotides) under uncultured bacterium. RNAcentral describes it as "partial 16S ribosomal RNA". It matches the Rfam family "Bacterial small subunit ribosomal RNA", at positions 28 to 507 of the family's 1533-position model. The record is from RNAcentral.